Molecule: non-coding RNA, 89 nt
Organism: Mycena vulgaris
Lineage: Eukaryota; Fungi; Basidiomycota; Agaricomycetes; Agaricales; Mycenaceae
Source: the annotation of a GenBank genome assembly
GCGGACGUGGUGCAUGGUGCACCACUGCCUUGUAUGAGGAAGUAGGUGCGAGAUGCAAGCAGUUGGGGGCUCGACUCCCCGCGUCCGCC